UUUAAGCUUAUUAUUACAGCUAGUCAGAGGCACGCGCGGCUGCAUGUGGUUGCGUCUGGGCCUGCGGCGGGCGGGCCCGCCGAGGCAACGUGGUAGGGUUCGCGGGGUUGGCAGAGCCUAGGGGGCACUCUGUAAUGAUCCCUCCGCUGGUUCACCAACGGAGA
Molecule: unclassified non-coding RNA, 164 nt
Filed under: uncultured fungus
Lineage: Eukaryota; Fungi
Description: sequence contains ITS1
Source: RNAcentral